Molecule: long non-coding RNA, 879 nt
Organism: Phoenix dactylifera (date palm)
Lineage: Eukaryota; Viridiplantae; Streptophyta; Magnoliopsida; Arecales; Arecaceae
Source: RefSeq, a predicted model, not a curated record
CUGCUUACCUUCUUUAACUCGAUUUUCUUUCUCCGAGGACGGUCGGUGUUAUUCCACUGCUUCUCAUGGCGAAUCCAAUUUAUGGCUCCGGCCCUCUUCGAUCCAGGGAAGGCCUCAUCUCGAGGCCUGCGGCCAGCUCUGACGAGAUCCAGUUGCGGAUUGAUCCGAUGCACACGGACUUGGAAGAGGAGAUCUCCGGCAUCCAUAACAAAAAAAAAUUUCGGGCUCUUGAGAUGAAAGGCGUGAGUCUUUUCUUUCUCUUCUUGAUACUUUUGUAUCCCUGAUGUAAAACAAAGAAGCGGAAAUUGAGAACCUAAACAUCCGUGGAAUCGAACAACUAGACCUAGGGUUGCCAAUCUGGAUUGAGGAUGUUGUCUAUGUUCGAGUAUCUUAGGGUUAACGGUGGCCAGAAGUUUCAUAUGUGAUCAGGUAGGUCAGGAAAUAGAAACAGAAGCAAAGUUUCAGAAUGGCAUCAUAUCUCAAUUGUACUACAGGGAAGAGGCCGGUUAACCUCUCUCGGUGCAUCGUCACUUGUCAAAAGAUGUAAAAUGGUCGAGACUUCAGACCUCUUCAACGAGGGAUUGGAGAAAGCCAGCAAAUUAAUUAAUGUAGAAGUUGCAUGAAUGGAAGUUGGGUACUGGACAUAUAAAUAUAUAUAGCAAACCUAAUACCAUUGCCAUGUUGUUGGGAGAAAUCAGGUAACUAGCACUAGGAAAUUUGUUGCUCUCUUGUCCGAUGCUCUUUGUUGAUUUUUGUUUUUUUCAGUAGGAUGCCUAUGAUGAUUCGGAUUCGGUACAAUUCACCUUGUUUGGGCUUCCAUUCUGAACAUAACCUUGAUUUGGUCAUAGAAUGAAACCUAAAAAUGGUUCUCUGUUUCAA